ACGGAAGGCAGCAGUGGGGAAUAUUGCACAAUGGGCGCAAGCCUGAUGCAGCGAUGCCGCGUGAGGGAAGAAGGUCUUCGGAUUGUAAACCUUUGUUUUUAGUGAAGAAAUAAAUGACGGUAGCUAAAGAGGAAGCCACGGCUAUCUACGUGCCAGCAGCCGCGGUAAUACGUAGGUGGCAAGCGUUGUCCGGAUUUACUGGGUGUAAAGGGUGCGCAGGCGGGACUGCAAGUUGGAUGUGAAAUACCGAGGCUUAACCUCGGAACUGCAUCCAAAACUGUAGUUCUUGAGUGGAGUAGAGGUAAGCGGAAUUCCGAGUGUAGCGGUGAAAUGCGUAGAUAUUCGGAGGAACACCAGUGGCGAAGGCGGCUUACUGGGCUCUAACUGACGCUGAGGCACGAAAGCAUGGGUAGCAAACAGGAUUAGAUACCCUGGUA
This 437-nucleotide ribosomal RNA is filed under the name uncultured Clostridiales Family IV bacterium. RNAcentral describes it as "bacterial SSU rRNA". It matches the Rfam family "Bacterial small subunit ribosomal RNA", at positions 341 to 792 of the family's 1533-position model. Lineage: Bacteria; Bacillati; Bacillota; Clostridia; Eubacteriales; Eubacteriales Family IV. Incertae Sedis. The record is from RNAcentral.